GACGAACGCUGGCGGCGUGCUUUACACAUGCAAGUCGAACGGAAAGGCCCUGCUUGCAGGGUACUCGAGUGGCGAACGGGUGAGUAACACGUGGGUGAUCUGCCCUGCACUUCGGGAUAAGCCUGGGAAACUGGGUCUAAUACCGGAUAGGAGCCAUUUUUAGUGUGAUGGUUGGAAAGUUUUUUCGGUGUAGGAUGAGCUCGCGGCCUAUCAGCUUGUUGGUGGGGUAAUGGCCUACCAAGGCGGCGACGGGUAGCCGGCCUGAGAGGGUGGACGGCCACAUUGGGACUGAGAUACGGCCCAGACUCCUACGGGAGGCAGCAGUGGGGAAUAUUGCACAAUGGGCGCAAGCCUGAUGCAGCGACGCCGCGUGGGGGAUGACGGCCUUCGGGUUGUAAACUCCUUUCGCUAGGGACGAAGCUUUUUGUGACGGUACCUAGAUAAGAAGCACCGGCUAACUACGUG
RNAcentral lists this ribosomal RNA (465 nucleotides) under uncultured bacterium. Its description in RNAcentral is "partial 16S ribosomal RNA". It matches the Rfam family "Bacterial small subunit ribosomal RNA", at positions 28 to 507 of the family's 1533-position model. The record is from RNAcentral.